UACGUAGGGUGCAAGCGUUGUCCGGAAUCAUUGGGCGUAAAGAGCGCGUAGGCGGCCCUGUAAGUCCGCUGUGAAAGUCAAGGGCUCAACCCUGGGAUGCGGGUGGAUACUGCCGGGCUCGAGUCCGGAAGAGGCGAGUGGAAUUCCCGGUGUAGCGGUGAAAUGCGCAGAUAUCGGGAGGAACACCAAUGGCGAAGGCAGCUCGCUGGGACGUGACUGACGCUGAGACGCGAAAGCGUGGGGAGCAAACAGG
RNAcentral lists this ribosomal RNA (253 nucleotides) under uncultured bacterium. Its description in RNAcentral is "partial 16S ribosomal RNA". It matches the Rfam family "Bacterial small subunit ribosomal RNA", at positions 524 to 776 of the family's 1533-position model. The record is from RNAcentral.